UACGUAGGGUGCGAGCGUUGUCCGGAAUUAUUGGGCGUAAAGAGCUCGUAGGCGGUUUGUCGCGUCGACUGUGAAAACCUACAGCUUAACUGUGGGCUUGCAGUCGAUACGGGCAGACUUGAGUUCGGUAGGGGAGACUGGAAUUCCUGGUGUAGCGGUGAAAUGCGCAGAUAUCAGGAGGAACACCGGUGGCGAAAGGCGGGUCUCUGGGCCGAUACUGACGCUGAGGAGCGAAAGCGUGGGGAGCGAACAGG
RNAcentral lists this ribosomal RNA (254 nucleotides) under uncultured bacterium. Its description in RNAcentral is "partial 16S ribosomal RNA". It matches the Rfam family "Bacterial small subunit ribosomal RNA", at positions 524 to 776 of the family's 1533-position model. The record is from RNAcentral.